Molecule: non-coding RNA, 111 nt
Organism: Ensifer sp. Root278
Lineage: Bacteria; Pseudomonadati; Pseudomonadota; Alphaproteobacteria; Hyphomicrobiales; Rhizobiaceae
Source: Rfam
UUACCCCAUGAUGCUCAGGUCCGCCGCAUCUCCUGGGUCGUGGGGUCGGUCGGUUGGCUUUUGACUUCUGCGGAAUCCUCGUGCCGCAGUCAGACGCCAGCCGACCCCCUU